This 1118-nucleotide long non-coding RNA is filed under the name Ananas comosus (pineapple). Its description in RNAcentral is "long non-coding RNA (ACOM_LNC038328)". The record is from RNAcentral. Lineage: Eukaryota; Viridiplantae; Streptophyta; Magnoliopsida; Poales; Bromeliaceae.
GCCGAGUCCAUUUUUGCAUCCAUUUCGCGCAGAAAUGACUCCGACUCAGUCCAACACUCUCCAGAUGUGUCGACCAGUCAAUAACACUGAAGCCAAUCCUAUCCAAAGCUCAGAAACACUACAAUAUAUUAAUUCAUCAAAUAAAAUAAAGAGAAAAAUAAAAUUAUGCCUAGAUUCCUAAUGAAUAAUUUUUAACAAAUUGUUCCAGAACAAAAUAUAAUAACCUAUUUUGACUGAAACAGCUAGUUUAAUCCAAUUUUAUUAUCCUUUAAAUAUCCCCUCUGUACCAAAUUUCAAGGAAUCUUGUACCAAACGCAGCCACAGAGUUUUAAACUUUAGAAUGAGAAUCUUUCCUUUCGAUAUCUUUUAAAUCACACAAAUCUAAUUUAAAAUGAUUGAGAUAUCGUGAUAUUUUUACUGGACGAUUAAACUAUAGGGUGCGUUUGGUUCACGCUAUUUUCUAAGAUUCCUAAUAAUCCAAUAGGAAUAAAAAUAUAUGACGGUGUUUGGCUAAGCGUACUAAGUAAUCUAGUUGGUAAUAUUGGAUUUAUUUGGGAAUGAGAUUCAUCACAAAGUACUAAUCUCAUUCCCUUGAGAGAGGAUGAGUAUCCUCAUAUUAAUGGAUUAGAGUAAUUAUAAUAUAUCUAAUCUCUUUCUUUCUCACUACCCGCCGGCUAGUUGGUAUUAUUUUUCUUUAUACUCUAACCUCAUAUCUCUCUCUAAACUUAUAUUUUUUUCUCUAAACUUCAACUCUUUUUCUCUUUCUAAACUAAGCUCUCUCCCCCCAUCUUUUUCUAAAAUCUAAACUCUCUCACUCUCUCUAUCCUCGACUCUAUUUCUUUUUCUAUUUCUUUAAUUAUGCUCUAUCUGUAACCUAUGUUCUCUCUCCCAUUUUUCUAAAAAGAUGUUGAAAUUUUUUGUAGAAUUAUAUAUCUAAAAUUAAUUAAAGAAAUAAAUAAAUUAAUUGUAUAUUUUUUGUAAUCUUAAAUAACAUGACUAAAUAAUAUGACUGUGCGAACCAAAUAUAGGAAUGUCAUAUUCUUAGUAAUAGGAUGAAAAGGAAUAAAAUUUUCAGACAUCUUUUUAUUUUUUAGUAAUAUUUUAUAAUACGAAGCAAA